RNAcentral lists this ribosomal RNA (494 nucleotides) under uncultured bacterium. Its description in RNAcentral is "partial 16S ribosomal RNA". It matches the Rfam family "Bacterial small subunit ribosomal RNA", at positions 28 to 507 of the family's 1533-position model. The record is from RNAcentral.
GACGAACGCUGGCGGCGUGCUUAACACAUGCAAGUCGAACGGAAAGGCCUGCUUUCCCUUGUGGAUUGCGGGUGCUCGAGUGGCGAACGGGUGAGUAACACGUGAGUGAUCUGCCCCCAACUUGGGUAUAAGCCUGGGAAACUGGGUCUAAUUCCCGAUAGGACUGCAGGGUGGUGCCUGUGGUGGAAAACGAUUUUCUAGUGGUUGGGGAUGAGCUCGCGGCCUAUCAGCUUGUUGGUGGGGUAAUGGCCUACCAAGGCGGCGACGGGUAGCCGGCCUGAGAGGGUGGACGGCCACAUUGGGACUGAGAUGCGGCCCAGACUCAUACGGGAGGUAGCAGUGGGGAAUAUUGCACAAUGGGCGGAAGCCUGAUGCAGCGACGCCGCGUGGGGGAUGACGGCCUUCGGGUUGUAAACUCCUUUCGACCGCGAGGAAGCCACCUGGUUGGAAGGGUGGUGACGGUAGUGGUAGAAGAAGCACCGGCUAACUACGUG